Molecule: ribosomal RNA, 293 nt
Filed under: uncultured bacterium
Lineage: Bacteria
Description: partial 16S ribosomal RNA
Rfam family: Archaeal small subunit ribosomal RNA
Source: RNAcentral
GUGCCAGCCGCCGCGGUAAUACCGGCAGUCCAAGUGAUGGCCGAUAUUAUUGGGCCUAAAGCGUCCGUAGCUUGCUGUGUAAGUCCAUUGGGAAAUCGACCAGCUCAACUGGUCGACGUCCGGUGGAAACUACAUAGCUUGGGGCCGAGAGACUUGACGGGUACGUCCGGGGUAGGAGUGAAAUCCUAUAAUCCUGGACGGACCGCCAAUGGGGAAACCACGUCAAGAGACCGGACCCGACAGUGAGGGACGAAAGCCAGGGUCUCGAACCGGAUUAGAUACCCUAGUAGUCC